This 403-nucleotide ribosomal RNA is filed under the name Fusobacteriota bacterium. RNAcentral describes it as "Fusobacteria bacterium partial 16S ribosomal RNA". It matches the Rfam family "Bacterial small subunit ribosomal RNA", at positions 355 to 776 of the family's 1533-position model. Lineage: Bacteria; Fusobacteriati; Fusobacteriota. The record is from RNAcentral.
UGGGGAAUAUUGCACAAUGGAGGGAACUCUGAUGCAGCGACGCCGCGUGAACGAAGAAGGCUUUCGAGUCGUAAAGUUCUUUUAUAUGGGAAGAUAAUGACGGUACCAUAAGAAAAAGCCCCGGCUAACUACGUGCCAGCAGCCGCGGUAAUACGUAGGGGGCUAGCGUUGUCCGGAAUCACUGGGCGUAAAGGGUUCGCAGGCGGAAAUGCAAGUCAGGUGUAAAAGGCAGUAGCUUAACUACUGUAAGCAUUUGAAACUGCAUAUCUUGAGGAAAGUAGAGGUAAGUGGAAUUUUUAGUGUAGCGGUGAAAUGCGUAGAUAUUAAAAAGAAUACCGGUGGCGAAGGCGACUUACUGGGCUCAUUCUGACGCUGAGGAACGAAAGCGUGGGUAGCAAACAGG